RNAcentral lists this ribosomal RNA (711 nucleotides) under Bacillus sp. (in: firmicutes). RNAcentral describes it as "bacterial SSU rRNA". It matches the Rfam family "Bacterial small subunit ribosomal RNA", at positions 65 to 759 of the family's 1533-position model. The record is from RNAcentral. Lineage: Bacteria; Bacillati; Bacillota; Bacilli; Caryophanales; Bacillaceae.
AGCGGACAGAAGGGAGCUUGCUCCCGGAUGUUAGCGGCGGACGGGUGAGUAACACGUGGGUAACCUGCCUGUAAGACUGGGAUAACUCCGGGAAACCGGAGCUAAUACCGGAUAGUUCCUUGAACCGCAUGGUUCAAGGAUGAAAGACGGUUUCGGCUGUCACUUACAGAUGGACCCGCGGCGCAUUAGCUAGUUGGUGGGGUAAUGGCUCACCAAGGCGACGAUGCGUAGCCGACCUGAGAGGGUGAUCGGCCACACUGGGACUGAGACACGGCCCAGACUCCUACGGGAGGCAGCAGUAGGGAAUCUUCCGCAAUGGACGAAAGUCUGACGGAGCAACGCCGCGUGAGUGAUGAAGGUUUUCGGAUCGUAAAGCUCUGUUGUUAGGGAAGAACAAGUGCGAGAGUAACUGCUCGCACCUUGACGGUACCUAACCAGAAAGCCACGGCUAACUACGUGCCAGCAGCCGCGGUAAUACGUAGGUGGCAAGCGUUGUCCGGAAUUAUUGGGCGUAAAGGGCUCGCAGGCGGUUUCUUAAGUCUGAUGUGAAAGCCCCCGGCUCAACCGGGGAGGGUCAUUGGAAACUGGGAAACUUGAGUGCAGAAGAGGAGAGUGGAAUUCCACGUGUAGCGGUGAAAUGCGUAGAGAUGUGGAGGAACACCAGUGGCGAAGGCGACUCUCUGGUCUGUAACUGACGCUGAGGAGCGAAAG